UCCCCCAAUUCUCUCUCCCAUCCCACUGAGGGAGGGGGAAGUGAGUGAGCGGCUGCGUGGUUAAACCACAACAAGCUAUUUUUCUGUAGCUUGGCACAUACUUUCUGUGAUGAUUCCCCUUUCUUUAAUCCCCAGAUUUCCUUGGUAUUGUGAAGAUUUGGAGGCAUUUAUGCUUAUUGGCCAUUUUGUGCAGGUAUACAAAUUAAGAAGCCUGACUUCUUGAUACUCUUUAAAAGCAAAAGCGGAGCUUCGUGCGCACGUCUAAGUCCCAGACUGCCCGAAAUGUUGACAAGGCGGGCUCCAGCCGACGGCCUAACCCCCGGAGCGAGAUGCCAUCUGGGAUAUUUUGGGGUACCGGGGACACCUCCCCAGCCCUCACAGCUCGGCCACCCACCGCCGAGGCCUGCGCUGAGCGCGGGGGCCUCCCUCUGAGACAACCGUCCCUACGGGACGCGUUUCACCGCCGGGAUGGCACUGCGCGUGGGAUGAGAACAACGUUGAAACGGACCACGUGUGACUGAAACGGCGCUAAGCUUCAAAAUCAAAGAACAAGGAGACGGCGUUAAGCUCCAAGAUCAA
Long non-coding RNA from Harpia harpyja (harpy eagle), 579 nucleotides. RefSeq lists it as uncharacterized. NCBI's taxonomy places the organism in Eukaryota, Metazoa, Chordata, Aves, Accipitriformes, Accipitridae. The transcript has 3 exons. The record is from RefSeq and is a predicted model, not a curated record.